Non-coding RNA from Salmo salar (Atlantic salmon), 54 nucleotides. The record is from Rfam. NCBI's taxonomy places the organism in Eukaryota, Metazoa, Chordata, Actinopteri, Salmoniformes, Salmonidae.
UGCAUUCACUACUGUAAGUCGCUCUGGAUAAGAGUGUCUGCUAAAUUAAUAAAA